GCGGGAGUGGUGAAACCGGUAGACACGCAGGAUUUAGGUUCCUGUGCCGAAAGGCGUGUGGGUUCGAGUCCCACCUUCCGCACC
Molecule: transfer RNA, 84 nt
Filed under: Pseudolysinimonas yzui
Lineage: Bacteria; Bacillati; Actinomycetota; Actinomycetes; Micrococcales; Microbacteriaceae
Description: tRNA-Leu
Rfam family: tRNA
About the family: Transfer RNA (tRNA) molecules are approximately 80 nucleotides in length. Their secondary structure includes four short double-helical elements and three loops (D, anti-codon, and T loops).
Source: RNAcentral